Molecule: long non-coding RNA, 1237 nt
Filed under: Monodelphis domestica (gray short-tailed opossum)
Lineage: Eukaryota; Metazoa; Chordata; Mammalia; Didelphimorphia; Didelphidae
Description: lncRNA (ENSMODG00000035816.2)
Source: RNAcentral
GAGAUGAGGAAACUGAGACAGAGAGGCCAUCGCGUGGCGGGCGCCCUCUGAGACCAGACUGAGGCUCUGGUCUCCCUGCGUCGGGGUCCAACGCUCUCGGCGCCACGCAAGGGAUAUUGGGAGCCAAGGAAGGGCUGGAUGCGUUCCGCAGGUGUGGAGAGGAGCGGAGAAACGCUGCCAUUGGGGUGUUUAACAUCACAUGAUUCCAGGACUUUGAAAUCAUCCUCAGUUUAACACUGGGAUGUCGAACAUGCAAUUUUCAAUGGACACCAAAGAGGAAUGCAGGCCAUAGCUGAGCCACUGGAAAAUCAGUCUGAACUGUUCUCUGGGGGGAAGGAGUCAUCCAGCUUCCAGCCAAAGCAAAGUGGACUAUCUGUCUUUGAACUUCAACCCCUGGCAAAGAUAAAAGUCAAGAUGACGGUAAUGGCCCAGGAUGUAAUGGAUAACCUUGACUACUUCUUUGAUGUCUUGACUGGGAUCUAAGCACUUCACAGCACCUGCUUCAGCCACCUCCAACACUAGGCUGUUACAACAAAUUGUUCUCAGCUGCCCAUUCCACCAGGCGAAGUCUCUACGUGCCUUAAGUAGGCACCCCCUAUUUCACCAAUGGGUUUGAAGUUUGUCAGUUAACCUCGACCUGGCUCAGCCCAACUGUUGAGAUGGUUUUACCAAGGUCUGGCCCCUGGGCAUACUACAAUUUCUUAGAGUCACAGGUGAGAGUUGAGUGAGAAAUGGACACCGAAGGUGGAUGAGUAACCCUGAAAAGGGCUCAGCAAGCCCUCCAACCAGAAGUGUUAGUCUUCCCUGAACAUGUCAUCAUCAGGAUUUCUCUUGAUCCCUCAAGGGAGGGCCAUUGAGCAGGAGAUGGCUGGGAUGAUAUAAGAUUUCUAAAAUGUAUUAUAAAUCUUUAGGUGCAUUUAAAUAUUAUCUGUCAUUAUCAUCAUUAUCAUUCUUCCCAAUUUUUUAAAAGAUACUCUGAGAAUACCUUCCAUAGUUGGAUUAAAAAAAAAAACUGGUUGUUUAAGAAUAUCAUUGUGGGUUGGACUAGAUGGCACUAUAAUCACAGGACUUGGGUUCUAAUUCUGGCCCUGCAAUUUGUUAGUUGUGUGACCAUGAGAUGGUCAUUUCCCCACUUGGUGCUUUUGUUUCCUGGUCUGACAAUGAGGCACUUGAGCUACCUAUCAUAUCACAGGGUGGGGCUGAGGAUAGCACUUAGUUAACCUGUAAAUCGUCAAGU